AUCCGUAGCCGGUUCUGCAAGUCCCCCGCUUAAAUCCAGCUGCUCAACUGAUGGGCCGCGGAGGAUACUACAGAGCUAGGAGGCAGGAGAGGCAAGCGGUACUCAGUGGGUAGGGGUAAAAUCCGUUGAUCCAUUGAAGACCACCAGUGGCGAAGGCGGCUUGCCAGAAUGCGCUCGACGGUGAGGGAUGAAAGCUGGGGGAGCAAACCGGAUUAGAUACCCGGGUAGUCCCAGCCGUAAACGAUGCAGACUCGGUGAUGGGUUGGCUUCGCGCUAACCCAGUGCCGCAGGGAAGCCGUUAAGUCUGCCGCCUGGGUAGUACGGUCGCAAGACUGAAACUUAAAGGAAUUGGCGGGGGAGCACCACAAGGGGUGAAGCCUGCGGUUCAAUUGGAGUCAACGCCGGGAAUCUUACCGGGGGCGACAGCAGAAUGAAGGUCAAGCUGAAGACUUUACCAGACAAGCUGAGAGGAGGUGCAUGGCCGUCGCCAGCUCGUGCCGUGAGGUGUCCUGUUAAGUCAGGUAACGAGCGAGACCCCUGCUUCUAGUUGCUACUCCUGUUCUCCGGAAUAGGAGGGCUAAUUAGAAGGACUGCCGCCGCUAAGGCGGAGGAAGGAGGGGGCUACGGCAGGUCAGUAUGCCCCGAAACCCUCGGGCCACACGCGGGCUGCAAUGGCAAGUACAAUGGGUACCAAUUCCGAAAGGAGGUGGCAAUCUCGCAAAACUUACCUCAGUUAUGAUUGAGGGCUGAAACUCGCCCUCAUGAAUAUGGAUCCCUAGUAACCGCGUGUCAUCAU
RNAcentral lists this ribosomal RNA (796 nucleotides) under uncultured archaeon. RNAcentral's name for it is "bacterial SSU rRNA". It matches the Rfam family "Archaeal small subunit ribosomal RNA", at positions 517 to 1311 of the family's 1478-position model. The record is from RNAcentral.